AAAUACAAAAUUAGAUAUUGCAUCUAGCCAUAUAAUCAAUACACUUCAAUCUUUUGUAGCCAAAAUUCAUUGUGCUUGCACUUUUCAGGAGUAAAUCUGACCAACUAGUAGUCAGAUUUACAUCCUUAAUGUCGCUUCAACCUGAAAUUCCAUUUCUCGAAUAGAUGUCCCUCAACAAAUAUAGCAUCACUAUGAAUAGCAUCAAAGACUAGGAAAGAAGGAAUUCUAAAUAACAUGCUCAAUCAAACUAAAUUAUGGCAUAAACAAUCAAAACAUUAAUUUAGAAGGACAAACGGGAACAAAUCUAGAUAACACUAAUACAUAUAGUCAAAAUCUGAUCCUUAAAACAAACAAAUACAUUACUCAAACAUGGACUAAACAAGAAAUUUCUUUCAAGGAUAAGUAUAAAGGUACAUCCACAUACCUAAAGGCAGAAAAAAGAAGAACAUCAGAAAACCAAUUAAAUGUCAAAACAAUUAAGUUUGGAGCUCAACCAAGCUUUAAACAACACAGCAUGAGCAACAACAGUAAAUCCCAAAAGAAAACUUCACAUUCAAUCCAUUUUCAACUUAUGAAAGCUAGAAAAUGCUACAGAAUUUCUUUAAGGUUUUUCUAAAAUCAAAGGAAAAUAGAAUCAGCUCUUAAAGAAACUGAACUUUUUAGAGUAUAUUUUAGGGUUCUCAAAUCUGAUGUGU
This 695-nucleotide long non-coding RNA is filed under the name Nicotiana benthamiana. RNAcentral describes it as "long non-coding RNA (NBEN_LNC033288)". The record is from RNAcentral. Lineage: Eukaryota; Viridiplantae; Streptophyta; Magnoliopsida; Solanales; Solanaceae.